RNAcentral lists this unclassified non-coding RNA (344 nucleotides) under uncultured Mortierella. RNAcentral's name for it is "sequence contains ITS2". The record is from RNAcentral. Lineage: Eukaryota; Fungi; Mortierellomycota; Mortierellomycetes; Mortierellales; Mortierellaceae.
AACGCACAUUGCGCUCUCUGGUAUUCCGGAGAGCAUGCUUGUUUGAGUAUCAGUAAAACACCUCAAGUCCGCUCUUCUUUUUGAAGACGGAUUUGGACUUGAGCGAUCCCAACAGGAGGGGCUUUCCCUUCUGGCGGGUUGCUUGAAAUGCAGGUGCAGCUGGAUUUUCAUCUGGGCUAUAAGCAUAUUUAUUUAGUCCCGUUAAACGGAUUAUUACUUUUUGCUGCAGCCAACGUAAAGGUUGAUUGUCCUCUUGCUGACUGAUGCAGGAAUUUUCGGGGGAUCGGCAACGAUUACCCGUUAAACUCGAUCUCAAAUCAAGUAAGACUACCCGCUGAACUUAA